CUUGUAGCUUAGCUGGAUAAAGCGUUCGGCUACGAACCGGAAGAUCGGGGGUUCGAAUCCCUCCAGGCG
This 69-nucleotide transfer RNA is filed under the name human gut metagenome. It matches the Rfam family "tRNA", at positions 6 to 65 of the family's 71-position model. From Rfam's summary of the family: Transfer RNA (tRNA) molecules are approximately 80 nucleotides in length. Their secondary structure includes four short double-helical elements and three loops (D, anti-codon, and T loops). The record is from RNAcentral.